AGAGAGAGAGAGAGAGCACAACGCAGACAUAAGUUUCAUGCUUUCUGUUCGGGAUGUUAAGUGGUAUAUUGUAUUCUCUGAAUACCUUAACAUGAUUAUGUUGCAUAUUUAUUAUUGAAAUACAAUAAUUAACUUCCAUUCUUAUGACCUUAAAGAUCAAUCUAUGUACUUGACACACACACAGCACAGCAUGGGUAUAAGUUUUGUCUUCAUGCUAUCUAUUUUGGAACGUUAAGUGUAUUGCAUUCAGUGAAUACUUGACAUGAUUAUGUUAUAUAUUUCUUACUUAAAUAGAUAAUUAACUUCCAUUCUCAUGAACUCAAAGAUCAAUAUAUCUACUAGACAAACACACAUGUACACAGAGCACUGCAGAGAUAAGCUUCAUGCUAUUGGUUUGGGAUCUUCAGUUAUAUUUUGUAUUCAGUGAAUACAUUAACAUGAUUAUGUUGCAUACUUCUUGUUUAAGUAGUUAAUUAACUUUCAUUCUCAUGACCUCAAAGAUCGAUCUAUCUACUUGACAUGCAAACAUACGCAGAGCACAGCACAGACAUAAGCUUCAUGCUGUCUGUUUGGGAUGUUCUGGUAUAUCGCAUUCAGUGAAUACCAUAACAUGAUUAUGUUGCAUACUUAUUUAAAUAGACAAUUAGCUUCCAUUCUUAUGACCUUGAAGAAGAUCAAUCUAUCUACUUGGCACAUACACCCACACACACACACACACAAAGAGAGAGAGAGAGAGAGAGAGAGAGAGAGAGAG
This 754-nucleotide long non-coding RNA is filed under the name Phoenix dactylifera (date palm). RNAcentral's name for it is "long non-coding RNA (PDAC_LNC018597)". Lineage: Eukaryota; Viridiplantae; Streptophyta; Magnoliopsida; Arecales; Arecaceae. The record is from RNAcentral.